This 539-nucleotide ribosomal RNA is filed under the name uncultured bacterium. RNAcentral's name for it is "bacterial SSU rRNA". It matches the Rfam family "Bacterial small subunit ribosomal RNA", at positions 356 to 896 of the family's 1533-position model. The record is from RNAcentral.
GAGGAAUAUUGGUCAAUGGACGGAAGUCUGAACCAGCCAAGUAGCGUGCAGGAUGACGGCCCUAUGGGUUGUAAACUGCUUUUGUAUGGGGAUAAAGUUAGGGACGUGUCCCUAUUUGCAGGUACCAUACGAAUAAGGACCGGCUAAUUCCGUGCCAGCAGCCGCGGUAAUACGGAAGGUUCGGGCGUUAUCCGGAUUUAUUGGGUUUAAAGGGAGCGUAGGCUGGAGAUUAAGUGUGUUGUGAAAUGUAGACGCUCAACGUCUGACUUGCAGCGCAUACUGGUUUCCUUGAGUACGCACAACGUUGGCGGAAUUCGUCGUGUAGCGGUGAAAUGCUUAGAUAUGACGAAGAACUCCGAUUGCGAAGGCAGCUGACGGGAGCGCAACUGACGCUGAAGCUCGAAGGUGCGGGUAUCGAACAGGAUUAGAUACCCUGGUAGUCCGCACAGUAAACGAUGGAUGCCCGCUGUUGGUACCUGGUAUCAGCGGCUAAGCGAAAGCAUUAAGCAUCCCACCUGGGGAGUACGCCGGCAACGGUG